CUCAAAACCAAAUUCUCUAGAUUUAGUUGAUUAUCUAGUUAGUUGUUAUGUAAACUAAUUAAGCAAUUAAACAUUCUCCCCUUGUAGCAAUUUUGUUUGGAAGAAUGUUUGAUAAAGAUUGGAUUCAUUUGAACAGAGCUACUGAUGAAUACUUGCGGGGUGCAUGAAACUUUGUCGAACAAGUGAAAAGUAAGUUGGAUGGGGUGGACAAAAUAUUAUGUCCCUACAAGAUAUAUAGGAACAUGAAUCACCAAACCUUUGAUUCUGUGUAUGAACAUUUGGUUAUUAAAGGUAUGGAUUUGACUUAUUAGAUUUGGUA
Non-coding RNA from Momordica charantia (bitter melon), 319 nucleotides. NCBI's taxonomy places the organism in Eukaryota, Viridiplantae, Streptophyta, Magnoliopsida, Cucurbitales, Cucurbitaceae. The record is from RefSeq and is a predicted model, not a curated record.